GAUGAAGAACGUAGCGAAAUGCGAUAAGUAAUGUGAAUUGCAGAAUUCAGUGAAUCAUCGAAUCUUUGUACGCACAUUGCGCCCGUCAGUAUUCUGGCGGGCAUGCCUGUUCGAGCGUCAUUACGCCCCUCAAGUCCCCUGUGGACUUGGUGUUGGGGAUCGGCGAGGCUGGUUUUCCAGCACAGCCGUCCCUUAAAUUAAUUGGCGGUCUCGCCGUGGCCCUCCUCUGCGCAGUAGUAAAACACUCGCAACAGGAGCCCGGCGCGGUCCACUGCCGUAAAACCCCCCAACUUUUUAUAGUUGACCUCGAAUCAGGUAGGACUACCCGCUGAACUUAAGCAUAUCAAUAAGCGGAGGA
Molecule: unclassified non-coding RNA, 358 nt
Filed under: soil metagenome
Description: partial contains 5.8S ribosomal RNA, internal transcribed spacer 2, and large subunit ribosomal RNA
Rfam family: 5.8S ribosomal RNA (bases 1-120)
Source: RNAcentral